This 26-nucleotide non-coding RNA is filed under the name Cricetulus griseus (Chinese hamster). The record is from RNAcentral. Lineage: Eukaryota; Metazoa; Chordata; Mammalia; Rodentia; Cricetidae.
UGACUCUAGAUUUCCAAUCAGUUGAC